AUCUCAGUUCGGAUUGCAGGCUGCAACUCGCCUGCAUGAAGCUGGAAUUGCUAGUAAUCGCGGAUCAGAAUGCCGCGGUGAAUACGUUCCCGGGUCUUGUACACACCGCCCGUCACACCAUGGGAGUCGGAAAUGCCCGAAGUCGGUGACCCAACCGCAAGGAGGGAGCCGCCGAAGGCAGGUCGGAUGACUGGGGUGAAGUCGUAACAAGGUACC
RNAcentral lists this ribosomal RNA (216 nucleotides) under uncultured bacterium. Its description in RNAcentral is "partial 16S ribosomal RNA". It matches the Rfam family "Bacterial small subunit ribosomal RNA", at positions 1285 to 1500 of the family's 1533-position model. The record is from RNAcentral.